Molecule: ribosomal RNA, 253 nt
Filed under: uncultured bacterium
Lineage: Bacteria
Description: partial 16S ribosomal RNA
Rfam family: Bacterial small subunit ribosomal RNA
Source: RNAcentral
UACGUAGGGUGCGAGCGUUGUCCGGAAUUAUUGGGCAUAAAGGGCUCGUAGGCGGUUUGUCGCGUCGGGAGUGAAAACGCCGUGCUUAACACGGCGCUUGCUUUCGAUACGGGCAGACUAGAGGUAUUCAGGGGAGAACGGAAUUCCUGGUGUAGCGGUGAAAUGCGCAGAUAUCAGGAGGAACACCGGUGGCGAAGGCGGUUCUCUGGGAAUGACCUGACGCUGAGGAGCGAAAGUGUGGGGAGCGAACAGG